This 1949-nucleotide ribosomal RNA is filed under the name human metagenome. RNAcentral describes it as "bacterial LSU rRNA". It matches the Rfam family "Bacterial large subunit ribosomal RNA", at positions 3 to 1977 of the family's 2925-position model. The record is from RNAcentral.
UCAAGCGACCAAGGGCAUAAGGUGAAUGCCUUGGCACUGAGAGCCGAAGAAGGACGUGAUAAGCUGCGAAAAGUCUCGGGGAGGAGCAAAUAUCCAUUGAUCCGUGAAUAUCCGAAUGGGGAAACCCACUUGAGCAAACCUCAAGUAUCUUGUUGUGAAUACAUAGCAACAAGAGGGAAUAGUUGGUGAACUGAAACAUCUAAGUAGCCAGACGAAAAGAAAGAAAAAAUUCGAUUUUCAAAGUAGCGGCGAGCGAAAUGGAAAGAGCCCAAAUUAAGUCAAUGAAGAAGAAGGAUAGUAGAAUGGUAUGGGAAGACCAACCGAAGAAAGUGAAAGUCUUGUAAACGAAAUCCAACUGAUUCUGACUUAGAAAGAGUAGCAUGGGACACGAGAAAUCCUGUGUGAAUAUAGGGGGACCACCCCCUAAGGCUAAAUACUACUCAGUGACCGAUAGAGAAUAGUACCGUGAGGGAAAGGUGAAAAGAACCCCGGGAGGGGAGUGAAAUAGAACCUGAAACCUUAUGCCUACAAGCAGAUAGAGUCUUAAGAGAGAUGAUAUCGUACUUUUUGUAGAACGGGCCAGCGAGUUAUGGUGUGCGGCAAGGUUAAGUAAUGAAGUUACGGAGCCGUAGGGAAACCGAGUCUGAAUAGGGCGAGAUAGUCGUAUGCCAUAGACCCGAAACCAGGUGAUCUAUCCAUGAGCAGGUUGAAGUGAAAGUAAAAUUUCAUGGAGGACCGAACCGGGUAGCGUUUAAAAGCUAUCGGAUGACUUGUGGAUAGGGGUGAAAAGCCAAUCGAACUUGGAGAUAGCUGGUUCUCCUCGAAAUAGCUUUAGGGCUAGCCUCAAUUUAGUUUACAGGGGGUAGAGCACUGAAUACCGUAGGGGUGUUAGACAUUACCGAAAGUUAUCAAACUGCGAAUACCUGAUAAAUGAUGAUUGGGAGUCAGACUAUGUGGGAUAAGCUUCAUAGUCAAAAGGGAAAGAGCCCAGACCACCAGCUAAGGUCCCUAAAUAUAGAUUAAGUGGUAAAGGAUGUUUUACUACUUAGACAACCAGGAUGUUGGCUUAGAAGCAGCCAUACAUUUAAAGAGUGCGUAAUAGCUCACUGGUCAAGUGGUAGAGCGCCGAAAAUGAACGGGGCUAAAAUCUAAUACCGAAGCUGUGGACUAAUGAAAAUUAGUGGUAGAGGAGCAUUGUGUAAGGGGCGAAGCUAAGUUGGAAGACGAAGUGGACUUUACAGAAGAGAGAAUGCUGGCAUGAGUAGCGAAAAGGAGGGUGAGAAUCCCUCCCGUCGAAAGCCUAAGGAUUCCUGAGGAAGGCUCGUCCUCUCAGGGUAAGUCGGGACCUAAGCCCAGGCUGAAAAGCGUAAGCGAUGGACAACAGGUUGAGAUUCCUGUACUAUCUUUGAAUGUUUGAGAGAUGUACUGACGCAGGAGGAUAUGUUGAGCGUGUGAAUGGUAGAGCACGUCUAAGCAAGUAGGUAGAGAAUAGAGGCAAAUCCCUAUUCUUAAUAUCGAGAUGCGAUGGGGAGCGAAAAAUAAGUAGUGAAGCAACAGAUUCCAAACUGCCAAGAAAAGGUACUAUUGAGUGAGAAGAUACCCGUACCAAAACCGACACAGGUAGGCAAGGAGAGAAUCCUAAGACGCGCGGAAGAACCUUUGUUAAGGAACUCGGCAAAAUGACCCCGUAACUUCGGGAGAAGGGGUACCAUUAGAUGUGAAGUACUUACGUAUGGAGCAUAGAGUGGUCGCAGAGAAUAGGCCCAAGCAACUGUUUACCAAAAACACAAGUCUCUGCUAAAUCGAAAGAUGAAGUAUAGGGGCUGACACCUGCCCGGUGCUGGAAGGUUAAGGGGAAAUGUUAGAGCAAUCGAAGCAUAGAACUUAAGCCCCAGUAAACGGCGGCCGUAACUAUAACGGUCCUAAGGUAGCGAAAUUCCUUGUCGGGU